UACGUAGGGGGCAAGCGUUAUCCGGAAUUAUUGGGCGUAAAGAGUACGUAGGUGGCAACCUAAGCGCAGGGUUUAAGGCAAUGGCUCAACCAUUGUAUGCAUUGGAAACUGGUAGACUUGAGUGCAGGAGAGGAGAGUGGAAUUCCAUGUGUAGCGGUGAAAUGCGUAGAUAUAUGGAGGAAUACCGGUGGCGAAAGCGGCUCUCUGGCCUGUAACUGACACUGAGGCUCGAAAGCGUGGGGAGCAAACAGG
Molecule: ribosomal RNA, 252 nt
Filed under: uncultured bacterium
Lineage: Bacteria
Description: partial 16S ribosomal RNA
Rfam family: Bacterial small subunit ribosomal RNA
Source: RNAcentral